This 74-nucleotide transfer RNA is filed under the name Metarhizium robertsii ARSEF 23. RNAcentral's name for it is "tRNA-Asn (GTT) (tRNA-Asn-GTT-3-1)". It matches the Rfam family "tRNA". Rfam says of the family: Transfer RNA (tRNA) molecules are approximately 80 nucleotides in length. Their secondary structure includes four short double-helical elements and three loops (D, anti-codon, and T loops). Further hydrogen bonds mediate the characteristic L-shaped molecular structure. tRNAs have two regions of fundamental functional importance: the anti-codon, which is responsible for specific mRNA codon recognition, and the 3' end, to which the tRNAs corresponding amino acid is attached (by aminoacyl-tRNA synthetases). tRNAs cope with the degeneracy of the genetic code in two manners: having more than one tRNA (with a specific anti-codon) for a particular amino acid; and 'wobble' base-pairing, i.e. permitting non-standard base-pairing at the 3rd anti-codon position. The record is from RNAcentral. Lineage: Eukaryota; Fungi; Ascomycota; Sordariomycetes; Hypocreales; Clavicipitaceae.
UCCUCCGUGGCGCAAUUGGCUAGCGCGGCUGACUGUUAAUCAGGAGGUUGAAAGUUCGAGCCUUUCCGGGGGAG